RNAcentral lists this ribosomal RNA (576 nucleotides) under uncultured bacterium. RNAcentral describes it as "bacterial SSU rRNA". It matches the Rfam family "Bacterial small subunit ribosomal RNA", at positions 36 to 644 of the family's 1533-position model. The record is from RNAcentral.
CUGGCGGCGUGCCUAACACAUGCAAGUCGAACGAGAAAGUGGAGCAAUCCAUGAGUAAAGUGGCGACCGGGUGAGUAACACGUGACUAACCUACCUUCGAGUGGGGAAUAACUCCGGGAAACCGGGGCUAAUACCGCAUAACAUCGCAAGAUCAAAGCAGCAAUGCGCUUGAAGAGGGGGUCGCGGCUGAUUAGCUAGUUGGCGGGGUAACGGCCCACCAAGGCGAAGAUCGGUAUCCGGCCUGAGAGGGCGCACGGACACACUGGAACUGAAACACGGUCCAGACUCCUACGGGAGGCAGCAGUGGGGAAUUUUGCGCAAUGGGGGAAACCCUGACGCAGCAACGCCGCGUGGAGGAUGAAGCCCCUUGGGGCGUAAACUCCUUUCGACCAAGACGAUAAUGACGGUACUGGUGGAAGAAGCACCGGCUAACUCUGUGCCAGCAGCCGCGGUAAUACAGAGGGUGCGAGCGUUGUUCGGAAUUAUUGGGCGUAAAGGGCGCGUANGCGGUGCCACAAGUCACUUGUGAAAUCUCCAGGCUUAACUUGGAGUCUGCAGGCGAAACUGUGGUGCUGG